This 253-nucleotide ribosomal RNA is filed under the name uncultured bacterium. Its description in RNAcentral is "partial 16S ribosomal RNA". It matches the Rfam family "Bacterial small subunit ribosomal RNA", at positions 524 to 776 of the family's 1533-position model. The record is from RNAcentral.
UACAGAGGGUGCGAGCGUUAAUCGGAAUUACUGGGCGUAAAGCGUGCGUAGACGGUUAUUUAAGUCGGGUGUGAAAGCCCCGGGCUCAACCUGGGAAUUGCAUUCGAGACUGAAUAGCUAGGGUAGGGUAGAGGGAAGUGGAAUUUCCGGUGUAGCGGUGAAAUGCGUAGAUAUCGGAAGGAACAUCAGUGGCGAAAGCGACUUCCUGGACCAGUACCGACGUUCAGGCACGAAAGCGUGGGGAGCAAACAGG